This 433-nucleotide ribosomal RNA is filed under the name uncultured bacterium. RNAcentral's name for it is "partial 16S ribosomal RNA". It matches the Rfam family "Bacterial small subunit ribosomal RNA", at positions 29 to 507 of the family's 1533-position model. The record is from RNAcentral.
AACGAACGCUGGCGGCAUGCCUAACACAUGCAAGUCGAACGCCUCCUUCCCGCCUGCUCGCGCACGGAUGCGUCACGCGCGGGAACCUGCCCUUCAGUUCGGACUCACUCCGCGGAUAAAGUCCUAAUACCGGCUCCAGUCUUCCAACCGAAGAUUUAUCGCCGCUGGAUGGUCCCGCGUUGUAUUCGCAUGAUGGUAGCCUAACAGCCUACCAAGGCGACGAUCCAUAGCUGGUCUGAGAGGAUGCUCAGCCACACUGGAACUGAGACACGGCCCAGACUCGUACGGGAGGCAGCAGUGGGGAAUACUGGAAAACGGGCGAAAGCCUGAUCCAGCAACGCCGCGUGAGUGAUCAAGGCGUUAGGGUAGUAAAGCGCUUUAACGCGGGAUGAUAGUGACCGUACCGGGAGAAUAAGCUCCGGCUAACUCCGUG